AAAUUAUAAGAUUGCUAAAUUCCUCCAACAUUUACUACCAGUCCCUCAUUUCGGCCUUGAUAAUGAUUAAGGUGACACUUAAUUACAACUGGGCUGGUAUGAAAAUCGAAUCAGCCUCGUACUGUAAUGAAUUUAAAAUUUUCUGUAAAUUACAUUUUCUGCACUAACACACAAAAAUGGAUGAGCCAUUUCAACCUCUAAAACUUACAUCAUCUUGCAUUAUUUUGAGUGGGCAAUUUACGUGCAAGUAAUUAGCUAUUGAACAAGAAAAGUUGAAUUAGGUGCUAAACCUGUACAGAUUAUGGUGUGGAAUUGAGCUUCAUAUCACUCUCUCUGGAACUUAAUAAAAUCUUGUCACUUGCUUGCAGCAUGGUAAAGCUCCAUGUA
RNAcentral lists this unclassified non-coding RNA (387 nucleotides) under Hevea brasiliensis (rubber tree). The record is from RNAcentral. Lineage: Eukaryota; Viridiplantae; Streptophyta; Magnoliopsida; Malpighiales; Euphorbiaceae.